RNAcentral lists this ribosomal RNA (462 nucleotides) under uncultured bacterium. RNAcentral's name for it is "partial 16S ribosomal RNA". It matches the Rfam family "Bacterial small subunit ribosomal RNA", at positions 28 to 507 of the family's 1533-position model. The record is from RNAcentral.
GACGAACGCUGGCGGCGUGCUUAACACAUGCAAGUCGAACGGAAAGGCCCUUCGGGGUACUCGAGUGGCGAACGGGUGAGUAACACGUGGGUGAUCUGCCCUGCACUUUGGGAUAAGCCUGGGAAACUGGGUCUAAUACCGAAUAGGACCACGCGCUCCAUGGUGUGUGGUGGAAAGCUUUUGCGGUGGGGGAUGGGCCCGCGGCCUAUCAGCUUGUUGGUGGGGUAAUGGCCUACCAAGGCGACGACGGGUAGCCGGCCUGAGAGGGUGACCGGCCACACUGGGACUGAGAUACGGCCCAGACUCCUACGGGAGGCAGCAGUGGGGAAUAUUGCACAAUGGGCGGAAGCCUGAUGCAGCGACGCCGCGUGAGGGAUGACGGCCUUCGGGUUGUAAACCUCUUUCAAUAGGGACGAAGCGCAAGUGACGGUACCUAUAGAAGAAGCACCGGCCAACUACGUG